RNAcentral lists this ribosomal RNA (627 nucleotides) under Staphylococcus aureus. Its description in RNAcentral is "partial 23S ribosomal RNA". It matches the Rfam family "Bacterial large subunit ribosomal RNA", at positions 2289 to 2925 of the family's 2925-position model. The record is from RNAcentral. Lineage: Bacteria; Bacillati; Bacillota; Bacilli; Caryophanales; Staphylococcaceae.
CCUAAAAGGUAACGGAGGCGCUCAAAGGUUCCCUCAGAAUGGUUGGAAAUCAUUCAUAGAGUGUAAAGGCAUAAGGGAGCUUGACUGCGAGACCUACAAGUCGAGCAGGGUCGAAAGACGGACUUAGUGAUCCGGUGGUUCCGCAUGGAAGGGCCAUCGCUCAACGGAUAAAAGCUACCCCGGGGAUAACAGGCUUAUCUCCCCCAAGAGUUCACAUCGACGGGGAGGUUUGGCACCUCGAUGUCGGCUCAUCGCAUCCUGGGGCUGUAGUCGGUCCCAAGGGUUGGGCUGUUCGCCCAUUAAAGCGGUACGCGAGCUGGGUUCAGAACGUCGUGAGACAGUUCGGUCCCUAUCCGUCGUGGGCGUAGGAAAUUUGAGAGGAGCUGUCCUUAGUACGAGAGGACCGGGAUGGACAUACCUCUGGUGUACCAGUUGUCGUGCCAACGGCAUAGCUGGGUAGCUAUGUGUGGACGGGAUAAGUGCUGAAAGCAUCUAAGCAUGAAGCCCCCCUCAAGAUGAGAUUUCCCAACUUCGGUUAUAAGAUCCCUCAAAGAUGAUGAGGUUAAUAGGUUCGAGGUGGAAGCAUGGUGACAUGUGGAGCUGACGAAUACUAAUCGAUCGAAGACU